GAUGAAGAACGUCAGCGAAAUGCGAUACGUAAUGUGAAUUGCAGAAUUCAGUGAAUCAUCGAAUCUUUGAACGCAUAUUGCGCUCUCUGGUAUUCCGGAGAGCAUGCUUGUUUGAGUAUCAGUAAACACCUCAACUUCCAUAUCUUUUUUGAAAUGGGAGUUGGACUUGAGUGAUCCCAACGCUUUUCCUCACCGAAAAGUGGCGGGUUACUUGAAAUGCAGGUGCAGCUGGACUUUUCUCUGAGCUAUAAGUAUAUCUAUUUAGUCUGCCUAAAAAACAGAUUAUUACCUUUGCUGCAGCUAACAUAAAGGAGAUUAGUUCUUGUGCUGACUGAUGCAGGAUUCACAAAGACAGGCUUCGGCCGACUUUGUAAACUCGAUCUCAAAUCAAGUAAGACUACCCGCUGAACUUAAGCAUAUCAAUAAGCGGAGGA
RNAcentral lists this unclassified non-coding RNA (434 nucleotides) under soil metagenome. RNAcentral's name for it is "partial contains 5.8S ribosomal RNA, internal transcribed spacer 2, and large subunit ribosomal RNA". The stretch from base 1 to 121 matches the Rfam family "5.8S ribosomal RNA", at positions 35 to 154 of the family's 154-position model. The record is from RNAcentral.